Molecule: long non-coding RNA, 824 nt
Organism: Clupea harengus (Atlantic herring)
Lineage: Eukaryota; Metazoa; Chordata; Actinopteri; Clupeiformes; Clupeidae
Source: Ensembl
UGUUGUGAUAUGCUCUAUUGCACAUGUUUUGUAUGUCUUAUGACAUUUUGCUAUCAAAUAUUUUAAUAAAGAAGUUCAAGUUUCAAGUUUUAGUACAUGGAAUCAUGGAAAAUCCUUUUUUUUUUUUCCCUUGGUAUCGAAAUUGGUAUCGAGAAUCGUGUUAUUUUACUGGUAUUGGUACCGACUACUGAAUUUUUGGUAUCGUGACACCCCUACCCUGCAGAGCUCCCUGAAGUCUGAGUCUCGCAGCAGGAAUGAGGCUCUCAGGCUGAAGAAGAAGAUGGAGGGAGACCUCAAUGAGAUGGAGAUCCAGCUCAGCCAGGCCAACAGGCAGGCAGCAGUGAAUGAAUAGGAUUCCCAACUGCAUCUGGAUGAAUCUCUCCGUGCUAAAGACAACAUUGCCAUUGAGGAAAGAUGCAACAUUCUGCUGCAGGCUGAACUGGAUGGAGCUGGUGGAGCAGACUGAGAGAUGCCGGACACUGGCUUAACAGGAGCUGCUGGACGUCAGCGAGAGGGUGCAGCUGCUGCUCUCUCAGAACACCAGCUUGCUGAACCAGAAAAAGAAGCUAGAGGGUGAUACAUCCUAGCUGCAGACUGAAGCGGAGGAGGCUGUGCAGGAGUGCACGAAUGCUGAGGAAAAGGCCUACAGGAGGCUGGAGGACUCAGGUCACGAAAAGGAGACGGAAUACGGAAGACGGGCGGGCAGGCAGGCAGGCAGGCAGGCAGAAAGCCACCGGCAUGCACACUGGAAAUACAUCUGCAGGAUUGCAGCGGCACGACUACGAGGAGACCGAGAGAAAGCAGAGAACCCAUCAUCAACGCAC